This 497-nucleotide ribosomal RNA is filed under the name uncultured bacterium. RNAcentral describes it as "partial 16S ribosomal RNA". It matches the Rfam family "Bacterial small subunit ribosomal RNA", at positions 28 to 507 of the family's 1533-position model. The record is from RNAcentral.
GACGAACGCUGGCGGCGUGCCUAAUACAUGCAAGUAGAACGCUGAAGAGAGGAGCUUGCUCUUCUUGGAUUAGUUGCGAACGGGUGAGUAACGCGUAGGUAACCUGCCUUGUAGCGGGGGAUAACUAUUGGAAACGAUAGCUAAUACCGCAUAACAAUGGAUGACACAUGUCAUUUAUUUGAAAGGGGCAAUUGCUCCACUACAAGAUGGACCUGCGUUGUAUUAGCUAGUAGGUGAGGUAAUGGCUCACCUAGGCGACGAUACAUAGCCGACCUGGGAGGGUGAUCCGCCAAACUGGGAAUGAGACACGGCCCAGACUCCUACGGGAGGCAGCAGUAGGGAAUCUUCGGCAAUGGGGGCAACCCUGACCGAGCAACGCCGCGUGAGUGAAGAAGGGUUUCGGAUCGUAAAGCUCUGUUGUAAGUGAAGAACGGGUGUGAGAGUGGAAAGUUCACACUGUGACGGUAGCUUAACAGAAAGGGACGGCUAACUACGUG